Molecule: ribosomal RNA, 424 nt
Filed under: uncultured bacterium
Lineage: Bacteria
Description: bacterial SSU rRNA
Rfam family: Bacterial small subunit ribosomal RNA
Source: RNAcentral
GAAUAUUGGACAAUGGGGGGAACCCUGAUCCAGCCAUGCCGCGUGUGUGAAGAAGGCCUUUUGGUUGUAAAGCACUUUAAGCGAGGAGGAGGCUACUUCUAUUAAUACUCUUGGAUAGUGGACGUUACUCGCAGAGUAAGCCCCGGCUAACUCCGUUCCAGCCGCCGCGGUAGUACAGAGGGUGCAUGCGUUAGUCGGAUUUACUGGGCGUAAAGCGGGCGUAGGUGGCCAAUUAAGUCAAAUGUGAAAUCCCCGAGCUUAACUUGGGAAUUGCAUUCGAUACUGGUUGGCUAGAGUAUGGGAGAGGAUGGUAGAAUUCCAGGUGUAGCGGUGAAAUGCGUAGAGAUCUGGAGGAAUACCGAUGGCGAAGGCAGCCAUCUGGCCUAAUACUGACACUGAGGUGCGAAAGCAUGGGGAGCAAACA